AUUGAACGCUGGCGGCAGGCCUAACACAUGCAAGUCGAGCGGCAGCGGGAAAGUAGCUUGCUACUUUUGCCGGCGAGCGGCGGACGGGUGAGUAAUGCCUGGGAAAUUGCCCAGUCGAGGGGGAUAACAGUUGGAAACGACUGCUAAUACCGCAUACGCCCUACGGGGGAAAGCAGGGGACCUUCGGGCCUUGCGCGAUUGGAUAUGCCCAGGUGGGAUUAGCUAGUUGGUGAGGUAAUGGCUCACCAAGGCGACGAUCCCUAGCUGGUCUGAGAGGAUGAUCAGCCACACUGGAACUGAGACACGGUCCAGACUCCUACGGGAGGCAGCAGUGGGGAAUAUUGCACAAUGGGGGAAACCCUGAUGCAGCCAUGCCGCGUGUGUGAAGAAGGCCUUCGGGUUGUAAAGCACUUUCAGCGAGGAGGAAAGGUCAGUAGCUAAUAUCUGCUGGCUGUGACGUUACUCGCAGAAGAAGCACCGGCUAACUCCGUGCCAGCCGCCGCCGUAA
Molecule: ribosomal RNA, 508 nt
Filed under: uncultured bacterium
Lineage: Bacteria
Description: partial 16S ribosomal RNA
Rfam family: Bacterial small subunit ribosomal RNA
Source: RNAcentral